CCGAAAACGGAUAAUCCUUUAAAGACAUUUGUUAUGGUGUUAUCUUUGUAUGUUGCACUACAUCAUGGAAUUUAUUGAUAAGCCAGUUGCGAACUUUUAUCAUCUAAGAAAUUAGGAACAUGACGCCAACUAUAUAAACGACUAAUAAAGUGCCAGCAGUCGCGGUCACACUUUAGUUUAUAAUAAAGACUAUCAGGGUAACAUUAAGUUAAUUAUUUCUCGUAGUAAAAUACAGACAAAAUACUUUAACACUUAUCAAGAUACAAAUACUGGUACCAAACAGGGAUUAGAUACCCCUUUAUGCAGUACACGAUAUUCAACUCUGGGCACUAAAAUCAUCAGAUUUAAACCCAACUAACAUGGCGGUAGUUUAAAUAUUUAGGGGAACUUACUAAGUAAAUGAUAACCACCAAGAAUAUAAACGUUUAAUAACAUUUUACAUACCGUCGUCGUCAGAUAUUCUAAAAUAGGAUGUCAUAAUAUAAAAAUAAAAAGACAGAUCAAGGUGUAGACCACCUAAGCGAUUUAGCGAGUUACAAUAUUGCUUAUUUUCAUAUUCUAGCUUUAAUGCUAUUUUAAGGAGGACUUAAAAGUAAUAAUCAUUAUACUUAAAUUAUGAAUGCUUUUUAAUCUGUGC
This 637-nucleotide ribosomal RNA is filed under the name Helix salomonica. Its description in RNAcentral is "partial small subunit ribosomal RNA". The record is from RNAcentral. Lineage: Eukaryota; Metazoa; Mollusca; Gastropoda; Stylommatophora; Helicidae.